CAAACUGUGCUCCGCUGGUUUCCCAGGAUCCCCUGCUCUCACGUCUCGUCAGUUCAAGGAGGCAGACUUCCAGCAGGUGGUGGAUUUCUUCGAUCAGGGCAUCGAGAUCGCUCUGGACGUCAAGAAGAAGACCAAAAAGCUGUCAGAUUUCAAGAGUUUCCUGCUGGAGGACGUGGAGACGGCGUCUCGUAUCGCUGAUCUGCGUCGCCGCGUGGAGGCUUUCGCUCGUCCCUUCCCCAUGCCUGGAUUCACCGACCAUUAACACAGCAUUUCUUCUUUUCUUUUGCUUCAAGACCAGUCACUACAUUAUUAAUCAUUUCCUGGAUCGAAGUCUUAAAACGAGUGUCUUAAGUGACAUUAGAAGUGAGUUUCCCUUCCGCGGAUGAUUUAUUCCUCGUGUGUGUGAUCCUUUUAUAACAUUCAGGACUCGACUAACAUCUAUAUCUUCCAUCUCGAGUGAAGAACAAAUGUGUCUAACAGACUAAAGAUGCUAAAUGUUUCCAGACUGUGAUUUCCGUUCUGAGCCGUCUCUUCUCUGAUGAUCGCAGCUGUUUGUGAACGUACAGUAGUGUGUGUGAAGACUGCAGUUUGUUUUUGCUCGGCUCUCAUCUCGAGUGAUUGUGAACAAACUGAUAUUGAUAAACACUUUGAGCCUCUUCUUCACGUUGCACCUUCAUUCUGCCUGACAAAACACAGAAAUGUUUUUUUAAAUGGACGGAUCUUUACAAAUGAUUUUCUAAAAACGUCUAAUCCCAAUAAAAAUGUGGUGUAGGAAAAUGCA
Molecule: long non-coding RNA, 781 nt
Organism: Carassius auratus (goldfish)
Lineage: Eukaryota; Metazoa; Chordata; Actinopteri; Cypriniformes; Cyprinidae
Exons: 2
Source: RefSeq, a predicted model, not a curated record